UUACGGCCAUAGCGCGUUGAAACACCUAUGUUCGUUCGAUCACCGAAGUUAAGCAACGUCAAGCGCGGUCAGUAACUAGAUGGUUGAUCACUUGGGAAUACUA
Molecule: non-coding RNA, 103 nt
Organism: Acanthosepion pharaonis
Lineage: Eukaryota; Metazoa; Mollusca; Cephalopoda; Sepiida; Sepiidae
Source: the annotation of a GenBank genome assembly